GGAAUCUUCCACAAUGGACGCAAGUCUGAUGGAGCAACGCCGCGUGAGUGAAGAAGGUUUUCGGAUCGUAAAACUCUGUUGUUAGAGAAGAACACGAGUGAGAGUAACUGUUCAUUCGAUGACGGUAUCUAACCAGCAAGUCACGGCUAACUACGUGCCAG
This 161-nucleotide ribosomal RNA is filed under the name uncultured bacterium. RNAcentral's name for it is "partial 16S rRNA". It matches the Rfam family "Bacterial small subunit ribosomal RNA", at positions 358 to 511 of the family's 1533-position model. The record is from RNAcentral.